RNAcentral lists this signal recognition particle RNA (299 nucleotides) under Cebus imitator (Panamanian white-faced capuchin). Its description in RNAcentral is "Metazoan signal recognition particle RNA (ENSCCAG00000006873.1)". It matches the Rfam family "Metazoan signal recognition particle RNA". Rfam says of the family: The signal recognition particle (SRP) is a universally conserved ribonucleoprotein. It is involved in the co-translational targeting of proteins to membranes. The record is from RNAcentral. Lineage: Eukaryota; Metazoa; Chordata; Mammalia; Primates; Cebidae.
GCCGGGCGUGGUGGCGAAUGCCUUUAAUCCCAGCUACUCGGGAGGCUGAGGCGGGAGGAUCGCUUGAGCCCAGGAGUUCUGGGCUGUAGUGCACUAUACCGAUCAGGUGUCUGCACUAAGUUUGGCAUCAAUAUGGUGACCUCCCGGGAGCGGGGGACCACCAGGUUGCCUAAGGAGGGGUGAACCAGCCCAGGUUGGAAACAGAGCAGGUCAAAACUCCUGCGCCAAUCAGUAGUGGGAUCGAACCUGUGAACAGCCACUGCACUCCAGCCUGGGCAACAUAGUGAGACCCUGUCUCU